RNAcentral lists this long non-coding RNA (1062 nucleotides) under Laticauda laticaudata (blue-ringed sea krait). RNAcentral's name for it is "lncRNA (ENSLLTG00000002561.1)". Lineage: Eukaryota; Metazoa; Chordata; Lepidosauria; Squamata; Elapidae. The record is from RNAcentral.
CUCCUCUCUGAUGUUGCUUAAUAAAUGAGUAAUUUACUUAAUACUAAAUACCAUGUCAAUCUAACUCAUCAGAAGCAAGAAUAAUAGAAAUUUUCUUCCUCCCAAAGCACAGUAAAUAUUAAUUGAACAAUUUGUUUUGAAGCUCUAACAGAACCUGAAAUAAAUGUAAGACAAAUUCCUAAUCUGGAUCAUAUGGAAAAAAUAAGAGAAAUAAACUGUUCGGUAACAGGAAGACCAGCUCCUGUAAUUACCUGGAAGAUGAAGAAACCUCUUCAGAUAAAGCCAAAAUCACAUAUGAUUUCACACUCAAAUAAGACAGUAACUGUUAUCAGCACAUUUACUCAAGUCUUGUCCAAGACAGUCUCAGAAAAUUCAGUAAUCUGUGUUAUUCAACAUCCAUCUCUAAACACUUCACAAGAGUUGAUGUUAUCUGAAAUUGUAAGCAAACAAGCCCCAAACAAACAUCAAAGAAUUGUUAUUGCAACUGUCUGUAUACUGGUUUCCCUAUUUGUCCUUGGGUUAUUUAUCUUUUUCAUAUACUGGUAUAGGAGACGAGCACUAAUAGAAAAAGAGCAAGAUCUUCCAUGCUGGGUUGUUCCACUUUGUUCUGGAAGAACAUCAUGUAGAAAAAAUGGCUACACAAAGAAAAAAGGCCCCUAUGAAAUCACUUGCUGAAAGAAAGUUUCGGGACACAUGAAACAUUUCUAUACAAAACAUGAAAUCACAUGAUGGAAAGGCAUGAACACUUAGCUCUGAGCAUGGACAGGAGCAUGCAACCAGCAGGCUGGUUAGCACCUAAAGGUCUUCUCCUUGCAUUUUAAUUAAUUUUCAGCAUUCUUUGCCUCUUUUAAAUAUUAUGUAUAGUUUUUUUACUUUUAAUAUUAUAUUUGUAUACUGCCCAGAUUCUUUCUGUGAGAGAGAUGGGUGAUUCCUAAAUAUACUAAAUAAAUAAAUAAAAAUAAUGAUAGUUUCCCUAUGAAUACUCCUUAUUCUGGAUUUUCUUUCCAAAUCUCUAUGUAAGGCAUACUGAUAACCAGAAAUAAAGCUAAAUAAUAUAGGAAC